GAAAUAUUAAAAUUAAGCUUCUAACUUAAAAUCAAGCGAAUAAUAUCGUUUAUAUUUCU
RNAcentral lists this transfer RNA (59 nucleotides) under Tenebrionoidea sp. 23 KM-2017. RNAcentral's name for it is "tRNA-Ser". Lineage: Eukaryota; Metazoa; Arthropoda; Insecta; Coleoptera. The record is from RNAcentral.